RNAcentral lists this ribosomal RNA (501 nucleotides) under uncultured bacterium. Its description in RNAcentral is "partial 16S ribosomal RNA". It matches the Rfam family "Bacterial small subunit ribosomal RNA", at positions 30 to 523 of the family's 1533-position model. The record is from RNAcentral.
AUUGAACGCUGGCGGCAGGCUUAACACAUGCAAGUCGAGCGGGGUGAUGUAGCUUGCUACAUUACCUAGCGGCGGACGGGUGAGUAAUGUUUAGGAAUCUGCCUAUUAGUGGGGGACAACAUUCCGAAAGGAAUGCUAAUACCGCAUACGCCCUACGGGGGAAAGCAGGGGAUCUUCGGACCUUGCGCUAAUAGAUGAGCCUAAGUCAGAUUAGCUAGUUGGUGGGGUAAAGGCCUACCAAGGCGACGAUCUGUAGAGGGUCUGAGAGGAUGAUCCGCCACACUGGGACUGAAACACGGACCAGACUCCUACGGGAGGCAGCAGUGGGGAAUAUUGGACAAUGGGCGAAAGCCUGAUCCAGCCAUGCCGCGUGUGUGAAGAAGGCCUUUUGGUUGUAAAGCACUUUAAGCGAGGAGGAGGCUACUUGGAUUAAUACUCUAGGAUAGUGGACGUUACUCGCAGAAUAAGCACCGGCUAACUCUGUGCCAGCCGCCGCCGUAA